GUCUACCGACUCUGCGCAGGCCUCCCACUCCCACACGGUGCUCAUUAAUGACGCGGCAAUUAAGCAGAAACUCAGUGUUGGCUACUAAUUCAAGAUCUCCCCUGAGACUGCCAGCCUGUUCUCGGCCAUAGUCUUCAAUGACAUGGAGUUAUCAAUUGGACAGCGGCACGAUUUGGCCGAGAUCCAUAGCCGCUUGCGGCAGGUAAAGCAAUCCUUUGAAGACACCGCCAGAGUCUUGCCAUUCCGCAGGAAUAUACAUAACGUGGUCUACGACAUGGAUAUCUUUGUCAAUCCAAGAACGAAAUGAUGCAAGGCAAUUAACAGAAACUAUCACUAAUAGACAGAUUAGACAUUUAGGAUUUUUGUUGUCUUUGCAAGUAGAACGAUUGACGAGACCUAAAUUAUAUUAGACAUAAUAUAUAAUUGUACAUUAUAAAUUAUAAAUUCGAAAAUGUCUCAUCAAUAAGUGCUUGAGGGUGAAUGAGAACUGGAAGCCAAGUCCAUCAAAAUUUGGCGACUUCUUUUCAACGACCACAGCACGAUUGCUAUACACGUCAAAGUCAUCGGUCAUGGUGAAUCCACAGAGUGUUUGCCCCAGUUCCUCGCUUGCAUCUGGCAUAACCUUCAAGAACUUAAUAUUAUCCAGUUUACAAUUGGUCUCCAACCCCAUGUUAAAGUCCGUGAAGGCGAUCCUCAGGAUCUGUACAUAUAAUGCUGGACAGCUCUUUAAAUAUCGCUGUUCAAUUGGAUAUUUCAAAUAUACAAACAUAUAUUUUCAUACAGGAUAGCUAAUAAAAAAAAAACACCCAAAAGUGUUCGUGCCGUAAGAUAAAUAAACCUAUUAAAUUGCUUCGCAUGGUAAACAUACAUAUCUGUAACAUCAGAUUCAUUCACCUGCCGCGUACCCUCAUUGUAGUAACCCACGCACUUGGGGCACUUCUUCAGAAACUCUGCUGGACAAAGGGGAGUGCGGGAGGCGAAAUAGCAGCGCACGCUUCUCAGAAUAUCGGGCAAUGCCUCCGAGACUUCUUUGUGGUCCAAGCUCGCAUGGAGUUUCAGUGUUUGUCGAAUGAUCUGUUAGAGCACCGAUUCCGUGGGUAGGUGGUACUUCAGCCAAAACUCCUUUUUGGUGCUUUCCACAAAGGUCUGCGUCAUUCGGAGCAUCAGCUUGUACAUGUUUGGCUUCCAGUGCUCGGCCAUACUGGUGAUUAGAUCCUCGAAGCUCUCAGCGCUUCAGAUGUUAGCAAUGAUAACUUCUCCGUAGUCGGCCAAUUUGAUGUCCUGACCAUUAAUGUUGAUUGAACGGAUCUGCAGCAGAUUUGGUGGCACCUUAGUAGGUUCAGCGGGUAGUUUCGGUUCACCCGAAAUGCGGCCACCAACUCCACUAGUUUUCAAUAGUUUUUUGAUCUCCUUUUUUGUGGGUACCCCAGUGACGCUGCGUAGGAGGUCCAGCCUGCCUUGAGUGGACGACUCCAUGGCCUUGGCUUCCUUGAAGAUCUUUUUAAAGGUGUUCCUGCAAAAACAAAGUCAUUAGUCUGGCAGGUCUUCAUGGAUAGUACCUUACUGUACGUAGCUGCUUAGGCUUGUGCGAUAAGUGGCUUUGUUGACCAUUUCA
RNAcentral lists this long non-coding RNA (1615 nucleotides) under Drosophila guanche. Lineage: Eukaryota; Metazoa; Arthropoda; Insecta; Diptera; Drosophilidae. The record is from RNAcentral.